GAUGAACGCUGGCGGCGUGCCUAAUACAUGCAAGUCGAGCGAACGGACGAGAAGCUUGCUUCUCUGAUGUUAGCGGCGGACGGGUGAGUAACACGUGGAUAACCUACCUAUAAGACUGGGAUAACUUCGGGAAACCGGAGCUAAUACCGGAGAAUAUUUUGAACCGCAUGGUUCAAAAGUGAAAGACGGUCUUGCUGUCACUUAUAGAUGGAUCUGCGCUGCAUUAGCUAGUUGGUAAGGUAACGGCUUAUCACGGCAACGAUGCGUAGCCGACCUGAGAGACGGAUCGGCCACCUGGGAAGGUGGACACGGUCCAGACUCCUACGAGAGGGCGCAGUAGGGAAUGUUCCGCAAUGGUGGAAAGCAUGACGGAGCAACGCCGCGUGAGUGAUAAAGGUCUUGGGAUCGUAAAACUCGGUUAUGAGGGAAGAACAUAUGUGUAAGUAACUGUGCACAUCUUGACGGUACCUAAUCAGAAAGCCACGGCUAACUACGUG
Molecule: ribosomal RNA, 497 nt
Filed under: uncultured bacterium
Lineage: Bacteria
Description: partial 16S ribosomal RNA
Rfam family: Bacterial small subunit ribosomal RNA
Source: RNAcentral